UAGCAAAGCCAAGUAAAUCUAAUUUUUAAGAAUUAUUCAAUAAAGGUACAGCUUUAUUGAAAAAGGAAACAACCUAAACCUUAGGAUAAUGAAUAUUUUUAAAUAGGUAAAAGGCCAAGUUGGCCUAAAAGCAGCCAUCUUUAAAGAUAGCGUCAAAGCUUCACCUUAAACACACCUUAAAUCUCAUUAUUUUUUCAUAAUCCAACAAUUCUACUAAGCCAUUCUAUACUUUUAUAGAAAAGUUUAUGUUAGGACUAGUAACACAGAAUAAUUUCUCUUACAUGUAAGUUUAAAUCAACCCGAAUACCUCCUUGAUAAUUACUCAAAUUUGAACCUUAAGUAGUACCUAUUAAUUACAAAAACCCUACUUAACUUAUUGUUAAUCAAACAUAUGGAUAUGAAAGAAAGAUUAAAAAAUUAAGAAGGAACUCGGCAAACACAAGUCCCGCCUGUUUACCAAAAACAUCGCCUUUUGAAAAGUAUAAAAGGUAACGCCUGCCCACUGACAGUAUGUUUAACGGCCGCGGUAUUCUGACCGUGCGAAGGUAGCGUAAUCACUUGUCUUUUAAAUGAAGACUCGUAUGAAAGGCAUCACGAGAACUUAGCUGUCUCCUUAAUUCAAUCAGUGAAACUGAUACCCCUGUAAAAAAGCAGGGAUGAUUACAUAAGACGAGAAGACCCUGUGGAGCUUAAAACAUAAGCUACUUCUAUACUCUACUAACUUAUAGUACUAAAAUACAAACCUAGCCUAAGUUUUCUGUUGGGGCGGCUGUGGAGAAAAACUUAUCCUCCAUGAAGAAAAAACUUUGAUCUACCGCUCUUAGUAUUAGCAAGCCUAACUUAAAUUGAUCCAAUUUUUGAUCAACGGACCAAGUUACCCCAGGGAUAACAGCGCAAUCCAUUUCAAGAGUCCCUAUCGACAAAUGGGUUUACGACCUCGAUGUUGGAUUAG
Molecule: ribosomal RNA, 952 nt
Filed under: Leptobrachium hendricksoni (spotted litter frog)
Lineage: Eukaryota; Metazoa; Chordata; Amphibia; Anura; Megophryidae
Description: partial 16S ribosomal RNA
Rfam family: Bacterial large subunit ribosomal RNA
Source: RNAcentral